Molecule: ribosomal RNA, 664 nt
Filed under: uncultured archaeon
Lineage: Archaea
Description: bacterial SSU rRNA
Rfam family: Archaeal small subunit ribosomal RNA
Source: RNAcentral
CCGACGGUGAGGGGUGAAAGCUGGGGGAGCAAACCGGAUUAGAUACCCGGGUAGUCCCAGCUGUAAACUAUGCAAACUCAGUGAUGCAUUGGCUUGUGGCCAAUGCAGUGCUGCAGGGAAGCCGUUAAGUUUGCCGCCUGGGAAGUACGUACGCAAGUAUGAAACUUAAAGGAAUUGGCGGGGGAGCACCACAAGGGGUGAAGCCUGCGGUUCAAUUGGAGUCAACGCCAGAAAUCUUACCCGGAGAGACAGCAGAAUGAAGGUCAAGCUGAAGACUUUACCAGACAAGCUGAGAGGUGGUGCAUGGCCGUCGCCAGCUCGUGCCGUGAGAUGUCCUGUUAAGUCAGGUAACGAGCGAGAUCCCUGCCUCUAGUUGCCACCAUUACUCUCAGGAGUAGUGGGGCGAAUUAGCGGGACCGCCGCAGUUAAUGCGGAGGAAGGAAGGGGCCACGGCAGGUCAGUAUGCCCCGAAACUCUGGGGCCACACGCGGGCUGCAAUGGUAGCGACAAUGAGUUCCAAAAUCGAAAGAUGGAGGUAAUCCCUAAACGCUACCACAGUUGUGAUUGAGGGCUGCAACUCGCCCUCAUGAACAUGGAAUCCCUAGUAACCGCGUGUCAUUAUCGCGCAGUGAAUACGUCCCUGCUCCUUGCACUCACCGCCCGU